CAAUAGCGUAUAUUAAAGUUGUUGCAGUUAAAAGCUCGUAGUUGGAUUUCUGGUGGGGUGUUUGGUCCGGCUCUAAUGAGUUUGUCGCCUAUACGUCUCCGCCAUCCUUGGGGAAAACGUUAGCUUGGCAUUAAGUUUGUCGAGUUUGGGUAGUCCCCACUCGUUUACUUGUGAAAAAUUAAGAGUGUUCAAAGACAGGCUUAUGCCGUUGAAUACAUUAGCAUGGAAUAAUAAGAUAGGACCUUGGUACUAUUUUGUUGGUUUGCGUACCUAGGUAAUGAUUAAUAGGGACAGUUGGGGGUAUUCGUAUUCAAUUGUCAGAGGUGAAAUUCUUGGAUUUAUGGAAGACGAACUACUGCGAAAGCAUUUACCAAGGAUGUUUUCAUUAAUCAAGAACGAAAGUUAGGGGAUCGAAGAUGAUUAGAUACCGU
This 431-nucleotide ribosomal RNA is filed under the name uncultured eukaryote. RNAcentral describes it as "bacterial SSU rRNA". It matches the Rfam family "Eukaryotic small subunit ribosomal RNA", at positions 592 to 1018 of the family's 1831-position model. The record is from RNAcentral.